GAUGAACGCUGGCGGCGUGCCUAAUACAUGCAAGUCGAGCGAACAGACGAGGAGCUUGCUCCUCUGACGUUAGCGGCGGACGGGUGAGUAACACGUGGAUAACCUACCUAUAAGACUGGGAUAACUUCAGGAAACCGGAGCUAAUACCGGAUAAUAUAUUGAACCGCAUGGUUCAAUAGUGAAAGACGGUUUUGCUGUCACUUAUAGAUGGAUCCGCGCCGCAUUAGCUAGUUGGUAAGGUAACGGCUUACCAAGGCAACGAUGCGUAGCCGACCUGAGAGGGUGAUCGGCCACCCUGGAACUUAGACACGGUCCAGACUCCUACGGGAGGCAGCAGUAGGGAAUCUUCCGCAAUGGGCGAAAGCCUGACGGAGCAACGCCGCGUGAGUGAUGAAGGUCUUCGGAUCGUAAAACUCUGUUAUUAGGGAAGAACAAAUGUGUAAGUAACUAUGCACGUCUUGACGGUACCUAAUCAGAAAGCCAUGGCUAACUACGUG
RNAcentral lists this ribosomal RNA (497 nucleotides) under uncultured bacterium. RNAcentral describes it as "partial 16S ribosomal RNA". It matches the Rfam family "Bacterial small subunit ribosomal RNA", at positions 28 to 507 of the family's 1533-position model. The record is from RNAcentral.